RNAcentral lists this unclassified non-coding RNA (346 nucleotides) under soil metagenome. Its description in RNAcentral is "partial contains 5.8S ribosomal RNA, internal transcribed spacer 2, and large subunit ribosomal RNA". The stretch from base 1 to 119 matches the Rfam family "5.8S ribosomal RNA", at positions 35 to 154 of the family's 154-position model. The record is from RNAcentral.
GAUGAAGAACGCAGCGAAAUGCGAUACGUAAUGUGAAUUGCAAAUUCAGUGAAUCAUCGAGUCUUUGAACGCACAUUGCGCCCCCUGGUAUUCCGGGGGGCAUGCCUGUCCGAGCGUCAUUGCUGCCCUCAAGCACGGCUUGUGUGUUGGGCCCCGUCCUCCGAUCCCGGGGGACGGGCCCGAAUGGCAGCGGCGGCACCGCGUCCGGUCCUCGAGCGUAUGGGGCUUUGUCACCCGCUCUGUAGGCCCGGCCGGCGCUUGCCGAUCAACCCAAAUUUUUUAUCCAGGUUGACCUCGGAUCAGGUAGGGAUACCCGCUGAACUUAAGCAUAUCAAUAAGCGGAGGA